Molecule: ribosomal RNA, 499 nt
Filed under: uncultured bacterium
Lineage: Bacteria
Description: partial 16S ribosomal RNA
Rfam family: Bacterial small subunit ribosomal RNA
Source: RNAcentral
ACUCAAAUGAAUUGACGGGGGCCCGCACAAGCAGUGGAGCAUGUGGUUCAAUUCGAUGCAACGCGAAGAACCUUACCUGGGCUUGAAACGCAGAUUAAGGGGAAUGAAAGUUCCCGUGCCGCAAGGCGAAUCUGUACAGGUGCUGCAUGGCUGUCGUCAGCUCGUGCCGUGAGGUGUUGGGUUAAGUCCCGCAACGAGCGCAACCCUUGUUUCUAGUUGCUACCGGAUAAUGCCGGGCACUCUAGAAAGACUGCCUACGCAAGUAGUGAGGAAGGUGGGGAUGACGUCAAGUCCGCAUGGCCCUUACGCCCAGGGCCACACACGUGCUACAAUGGCUACUACAAAGAGCAGCUAAACCGCGAGGUCAUGCCAAUCUCUAAAAAGUAGUCUCAGUUCGGAUUGGAGUCUGAAACUCGACUCCAUGAAGCUGGAAUUGCUAGUAAUCGUGGAUCAGCACGCCACGGUGAAUACGUUCCCGGGCCUUGUACACACCGCCCGU